GGCCCCGUCGUCUAGCGGUUUAGGACACCAGGUUUUCAUCCUGGAGAUCAUGGGUUCAAAUCCCAUCGGGGUCA
This 74-nucleotide transfer RNA is filed under the name Patescibacteria group bacterium. RNAcentral's name for it is "tRNA-Glu". It matches the Rfam family "tRNA". From Rfam's summary of the family: Transfer RNA (tRNA) molecules are approximately 80 nucleotides in length. The record is from RNAcentral.